CACUCCUUGACAUGGAAAUUAUACCUAUUCGAAGGGAUAGGGUCGGUUCGGCCGGGUUUCACACAGGUGUUGCAUGGCUGUCGUCAGCUCGUGUCGUGAGAUGUUGGGUUAAGUCCCGCAACGAGCGCAACCCUCAUCCUUAGUUACCAUCAGGUAAUGCUGGGGACUUUAAGGAAACUGCCAGUGAUAAACUGGAGGAAGGUGGGGAUGAUGUCAAGUCAUCAUGGCCCUUAUGGAGUGGGCUACACACGUGCUACAAUGGUGGCUACAAUGGGCUGCAAAGUCGCGAGGCUAAGCCAAUCCCUUAAAAGCCAUCUCAGUUCGGAUUGUACUCUGCAACUCGAGUGCAUGAAGUCGGAAUCGCUAGUAAUCGCGGAUCAGAAUGCCGCGGUGAAUA
RNAcentral lists this ribosomal RNA (397 nucleotides) under uncultured Alphaproteobacteria bacterium. RNAcentral's name for it is "bacterial SSU rRNA". It matches the Rfam family "Bacterial small subunit ribosomal RNA", at positions 975 to 1368 of the family's 1533-position model. The record is from RNAcentral. Lineage: Bacteria; Pseudomonadati; Pseudomonadota; Alphaproteobacteria.